Bombardia bombarda is the source of this 132-nucleotide non-coding RNA. The record is from the annotation of a GenBank genome assembly. Lineage: Eukaryota; Fungi; Ascomycota; Sordariomycetes; Sordariales; Lasiosphaeriaceae.
GGUUAGAUGGCCGAGCGGUCUAAGGCGCCACGUUAAGGUGUUACAAACUCUUAAUCCUUGUUUCCACAACAAAUGUUGUGGAUCAAAAAUCCGUGGUCCGAAAGGGCGUGGGUUCGAAUCCCACUCUAAUCA